AAGCUUACCAAGACGAUGAUGUGUAGCUGGACUGAGAGGUCGAACAGCCACAUUGGGACUGAGACACGGCCCAAACUCCUACGGGAGGCAGCAGUAAGGAAUUUUUGGCAAUGGAGGAAACUCUGACCGAGCGACGCCGCGUGAACAAUGAAGUACUUCGGUAUGUAAAGUUCUUUUAUUGAAAAAGAAAAAAUAGUGGAAAAACUAUCUUGACAUUAUUCAAUGAAUAAGCCCCGGCUAAUUAUGUGCCAGCAGCCGCGGUAAUACAUAAGGGGCGAGCGUUAUCCGGAAUUAUUGGGCGUAAAGGGUGCGUAGGCGGUUUGAUAAGUCUAUAGUUUAAAUGCAGUGCUUAACGCUGUAGCGCUAUAGAAACUGUCUGACUAGAGUUAGAUAGAGGCAAGCGGAAUUCCAUGUGUAGCGGUAAAAUGCGUAAAUAUAUGGAGGAACACCAGAGGCGUAGGCGGCUUGCUGGGUCUUAACUGACGCUGAGGCACGAAAGCGUGGGGAGCAAACAGGAUUAGAUACCCUGGUAGUCCACGCCGUAAACGAUGAGUACUAAGUGUCGGGUUUCGACUCGGUACUGAAGUUAACACAUUAAGUACUCCGCCUGAGUAGUACGUACGCNAGUAUGAAACUUAAAGGAAUUGACGGGACCCCGCACAAGCGGUGGAUCAUGUUGUUUAAUUCGAAGAUACACGAAAAACCUUACCAGGUCUUGACAUAAUUUUGCGACAUUAUAGAAAUAUAAUGAAGGUUAUCAGAAUUACAGGUGGUGCAUGGUUGUCGUCAGCUCGUGUCGUGAGAUGUUAGGUUAAGUCCUAAAACGAGCGCAACCCUUGUCGUUAGUUGCGACCACGUAAUGGUGA
Molecule: ribosomal RNA, 866 nt
Filed under: Lethal wilt oil palm phytoplasma
Lineage: Bacteria; Bacillati; Mycoplasmatota; Mollicutes; Acholeplasmatales; Acholeplasmataceae
Description: bacterial SSU rRNA
Rfam family: Bacterial small subunit ribosomal RNA
Source: RNAcentral